Molecule: non-coding RNA, 45 nt
Filed under: Echinostoma caproni
Lineage: Eukaryota; Metazoa; Platyhelminthes; Trematoda; Plagiorchiida; Echinostomatidae
Source: RNAcentral
GCACUGCUGAGGAGACCAAAUCAGAUCGAAACAGCUGUCCGGUGC